Long non-coding RNA from Amphiprion ocellaris (clown anemonefish), 510 nucleotides. NCBI's taxonomy places the organism in Eukaryota, Metazoa, Chordata, Actinopteri, Pomacentridae. The record is from Ensembl.
CGUGUCCUUAACCAUAACAACGAUGGCGGAUGUGUUGAGACUGCACGAGAAUGACUUUAUUUUGUAAAGGGGAGAGCAGAAAAGUCGUGGGACUGACAUCACUAAAAUGCUUCUGAUACUUUGGGAAGCCAUGCUUGAAAUCUGAAUGGGACGUCACAAAAGAGAAACAGCAGGCAGUAUAAACCCAGGUGGACAACUCUGAGGACGUUUGGCAGCACAAUAUAAAGAUUGCUGUUGUUGGUGCUUCCUACGCUGAAGAUCCUGUUGAUGUCUCUCUUAUUCUUGACGGCAAGGAGGUUGUGACUGGAUGUGGAAAUACUGCAAAGCCAUGUACACUGCUAAUGGGUCUGAUAUAUUCCCUCAAUCUUGCUUAUCCUCCAACACUGUGUUACGCUUUUGAAGUGUUCCAGAAGCUUUUCUUAGACUUAGACGCAAUAAAGCUAUCCCCCAAAGUACAAACUCUGAAAAUGAAGUUGCUGUCCAAAACUUAAAAGAUGACAUUUUAUUCAG